UACAGUGGGUGCAAGCGUUAAUCGGAAUUACUGGGCGUAAAGCGUGCGUAGACGGUUAUUUAAGUCAGGUGUGAAAGCCCAGGGCUCAACCUUGGAAUUGCAUUUGAGACUGAAUAGCUAGGGUGCGGAAGAGGGAAGCGGAAUUUCCGGUGUAGCGGUGAAAUGCGUAGAUAUCGGAAGGAACACCGGUGGCGAAGGCGGGUCUCUGGGCCGAUACUGACGCUGAGGAGCGAAAGCGUGGGGAGCGAACAGG
This 253-nucleotide ribosomal RNA is filed under the name uncultured bacterium. RNAcentral's name for it is "partial 16S ribosomal RNA". It matches the Rfam family "Bacterial small subunit ribosomal RNA", at positions 524 to 776 of the family's 1533-position model. The record is from RNAcentral.